UAGUGUUCCUGGCAGGGGAGACACCAUGAUCAAUCAGGUGGUUUUCCCAGGGCAGGUGAUUGUCUCUCAUAUGUCCUCCAUCAGAGGUCUAUAUUGAGCAGAUUCUUUUUGGUGUUCGGUGGUGGAACUGGAGCUUGCUCCAUCCACUC
Molecule: small nuclear RNA, 149 nt
Filed under: Crocodylus porosus (Australian saltwater crocodile)
Lineage: Eukaryota; Metazoa; Chordata; Crocodylia; Crocodylidae
Description: U1 spliceosomal RNA (ENSCPRG00005012361.1)
Source: RNAcentral